UCGGCUUAGAGUUUGAUCAUGGCUCAGAUUGAACGCUGGCGGCAGGCCUAACACAUGCAAGUCGAGCGGCAAGGAAGCUUGCUUCCUGCGAGCGGCGGACGGGUGAGUAAUGUCUGGGGAUCUGCCCGAUGGAGGGGGAUAACUACUGGAAACGGUAGCUAAUACCGCAUAACGUCGCAAGACCAAAGUGGUUCGUCACGCCAUCGGAUGAACCCAGAUGGGAUUAGCUAGUAGGCGGGGUAAAGGCCCACCUAGGCGACGAUCUCUAGCUGGUCUGAGAGGAUGACCAGCCACACUGGAACUGAGACACGGUCCAGACUCCUACGGGAGGCAGCAGUGGGGAAUAUUGCACAAUGGGGGAAACCCUGAUGCAGCCAUGCCGCGUGUAUGAAGAAGGCCUUCGGGUUGUAACGUACUUUCAGCGGGGAGGAAGGCAGUGAAUAAUUUCGCUGAUUGACGUUACCCGCAGAAGAAGCACCGGCUAACUCCGUGCCAGCAGCCGCGGUAAUACGGAGGGUGCAAGCGUUAAUCGGAAUGACUGGGCGUAAAGCGCACGCAGCGGUUUGUUAAGUCAGAUGUGAAAUCCCCGAGCUUAACUUGGGAACUGCAUUUGAAACUGGCAGCUAGAGUCUUGUAGAGGGGGGUAGAAUUCCAGUGUAGCGGUGAAAUGCGUAGAGAUCUGGAGAUACCGGUG
RNAcentral lists this ribosomal RNA (694 nucleotides) under uncultured Brenneria sp. RNAcentral describes it as "bacterial SSU rRNA". It matches the Rfam family "Bacterial small subunit ribosomal RNA", at positions 1 to 714 of the family's 1533-position model. The record is from RNAcentral. Lineage: Bacteria; Pseudomonadati; Pseudomonadota; Gammaproteobacteria; Enterobacterales; Pectobacteriaceae.